This 253-nucleotide ribosomal RNA is filed under the name uncultured bacterium. RNAcentral describes it as "partial 16S ribosomal RNA". It matches the Rfam family "Bacterial small subunit ribosomal RNA", at positions 524 to 776 of the family's 1533-position model. The record is from RNAcentral.
UACGGAGGGUGCGAGCGUUGUCCGGAAUCACUGGGCGUAAAGGGCGCGUAGGCGGCAUGCCAAGCGUGUGGUGAAAGCCCGGGGCUCAACCCCGGGUCGGCCGUGCGGACUGGCGUGCUCGAGCACUGUAGGGGCGGGUGGAAUUCCGGGUGUAGCGGUGAAAUGCGUAGAUAUCGGAAGGAACGCCGGUGGCGAAAGCGAUCGACUGGACCUUUUCUGACGCUGAGGCGCGAAAGCCAGGGGAGCAAACGGG